Molecule: unclassified non-coding RNA, 279 nt
Filed under: uncultured Geoglossales
Lineage: Eukaryota; Fungi; Ascomycota; Geoglossomycetes
Description: sequence contains 5.8S rRNA gene
Rfam family: 5.8S ribosomal RNA (bases 1-53)
Source: RNAcentral
GAACGCACAUUGCGCCCCUUGGCAUUCCGAGGGGCAUGCCUGUUCGAGCGUCAUUGUAAAAUCUCAAGCCUCUUGCUUGGUGUUGGGUCUUCGUCCCUCCCCCAUGAAAGGGGGGGGCUGGACGUGCCUGAAAAUCAGUGGCGGUGCCACGAUGGUCUCAAGCGUAGUAGACUCUCUCUCGCUUUGGAUGGCUUGUCGUGCGGCUCACCAGCCUCAUCAUAGAUGAACUUCUGAAAAGGUUUGACCUCGGAUCAGGUAGGGAUACCCGCUGAACUUAAG